CCCUUUAUCCGCCCCGACUCCCCUGAUCUCGCCGUCCUCCUCUUUCAGAUCCUCCCCCUCCUCAUCCACGACCGUCGCCACCUCCCCAUCCAUGGCCAUCUGCCCCUAUGUGUCCCGCAACCGCCGCGACGACAUCCUCGUCCCCAGAGGCGGGGACUUCCCUUAAGGCGAACCUAGUGCACGUGGCGCCGGUACCAUUGAUGCGGGUCGGGCGGCGGUCAGAUCUGCCACGGCCAGAACCGGCGUCCUCUUCCUCCCUAUCUAGCUUCCUCCCAUGGCUGAGAAGAGGGCUUCGUCAAGGAUCCCAUGACGGAGGUCAAUGUGGGAGGCUGCUUCCUCCGAUCCCAGAUCGACCAUCCGUCGAUGGAGGCCAUGAGAGCCACAUGGGCACACACAUGGCUGCGCUUCAAGGUCAACCCUCGCCCAUCCUUUCUCUUCGAUUUGAUUUGAUCUCCUCCCCUAAUUUCCUUCGCCACGCAGCUGCAGCUUGAUAGAUGCAGGGACGCCGCCAUGAAACAGUCAGGGCCUCCCUUCUCUUCCCGUUUAGUCCGAUCCGCCACUGCCAGCCAUUUCCGGCGCCCCUGCACCAAAGCGGUGAAGGGCACAAUGAUGAAUUCAAUGCAAGAUCCUACUGGUGAUCCAACAGAUGGGAGCCCAAUAGACGCAAACACAUAAGAUGCCUAAGAAAAGGACUGGCAAAUAAAAUAGGAAUCCAAACUUGCAAAAUUCUCUUUUACAUACCGCUAGUACUACUGGGACUCUAGGUACAAGGCACAAUGUAAUUGCUCCAAAUAUGCUCAUACAAGUUGCAACAAUGAAUUCUCAAAUGUUUCGAGCAAUGGAUCCAAAGAUUUAGCUGGAAUGGACUCUAGACCACGGACAAUUUAAUCUUUGCUCUUAAUUAGGAUGGCACAUUCAGUAUGUUGAAUGCAUGCUAAAUUAUAUUACAGUUUAUUGUGAUGGAUAUUGGGUAUGCAAACUUUGAUGUCUGAUGAAUCUACAUCAUACAUGCAUUAUUUGAAUUUUGUAAUUGAAUGCCUGUAUAUUUUUUCGGCUACAGUAGGCUAUUACCACAAACUACUUUUGGUUGCAACAUGUUGGCAGCACGAAAAA
Molecule: long non-coding RNA, 1113 nt
Organism: Aegilops tauschii subsp. strangulata
Lineage: Eukaryota; Viridiplantae; Streptophyta; Magnoliopsida; Poales; Poaceae
Source: RefSeq, a predicted model, not a curated record